Molecule: ribosomal RNA, 380 nt
Filed under: uncultured bacterium
Lineage: Bacteria
Description: bacterial SSU rRNA
Rfam family: Bacterial small subunit ribosomal RNA
Source: RNAcentral
GUAGUCCACGCCGUAAACGAUGGGCACUAGGUGCUUGGGGGAGCGACCCUCUGAGUGCCGGCGCUAACGCAUUAAGUGCCCCGCCUGGGGAGUACGGCCGCAAGGCUGAAACUCAAAGGAAUUGACGGGGGCCCGCACAAGCGGUGGAGCAUGUGGUUUAAUUCGACGCAACGCGAAGAACCUUACCUAGGCUUGACAUGCAGAGGAAAGCUUUGAGAAACCAGAGCCCUCCUUCGGGACUUCUGCACAGGUGCUGCAUGGCUGUCGUCAGCUCGUGUCGUGAGAUGUUGGGUUAAGUCCCGCAACGAGCGCAACCCCCGUUCCCAGUUACUAACGGGUUAUGCCGAGGACUCUGGGAAGACUGCCGGUGCCAAACCGGA